UUCCGGUUGAUCCUGCCGGAGGUCACUGCUAUCGGGGUUCGAUUAAGCCAUGCGAGUCGAGAGGGUUCGGCCCUCGGCGUGUUACUCAGUAACACGUGGAUAACCUGCCCUAAGGAAGGGGAUAACCUCGGGAAACUGAGGAUAAUACCCUAUAGGUUACAGACGCUGGAAUGCCCUGUAACCGAAAGUUCCGGCGCCUUAGGAUGGAUCUGCGGCCGAUUAGGUUGUUGUUGGGGUAACGGCCCAACAAGCCGAUAAUCGGUACGGGUUGUGGGAGCAAGAGCCCGGAGUUGGAUUCUGAGACACGAAUCCAGGCCCUACGGGGCGCAGCAGGCGCGAAAACUUUACAAUGCGGGAAACCGUGAUAAGGGAACCUCGAGUGCCUGUAUAUGCAGGCUGUCCAGGUGUCUAAAAAACACCUGAAGAAAGGGCCGGGCAAGACCGGUGCCAGCCGCCGCGGUAAUACCGGCGGCUCGAGUGGUGGCCACUUUUAUUGGGCUUAAAGCGUUCGUAGCUGGGUUGUUAAGUCUCUUGGGAAAUCUGGCGGCUUAACCGUCAGGCGUCCAAGGGAUACUGGCAAUCUUGGAACCGGGAGAGGUGAGGGGUACUUCGGGGGUAGGAGUGAAAUCCUGUAAUCCUCGAGGGACCACCUGUGGCGAAGGCGCCUCACCAGAGCGGCUUCGACAGUGAGGGACGAAAGCUGGGGGAGCAAACCGGAUUAGAUACCCGGGUAGUCCCAGCCCUAAACGAUGCGCGUUAGGUGUAUCGGUGACCACGAGUCACCGAGGUGCCGAAGGGAAACCGUGAAACGUGCCGCCUGGGAAGUACGGUCGCAAGGCUGAACUUAAAGGAAUUGGCGGGGGAGCACCACAACGGGUGGAGCCUGCGGUUUAAUUGGACUCAACGCCGGGAAGCUUACCGGAUAAGA
This 928-nucleotide ribosomal RNA is filed under the name bacterium enrichment culture clone F8 1.705-A3. RNAcentral describes it as "bacterial SSU rRNA". It matches the Rfam family "Archaeal small subunit ribosomal RNA", at positions 1 to 939 of the family's 1478-position model. The record is from RNAcentral.